Molecule: ribosomal RNA, 774 nt
Filed under: uncultured Neocallimastigales
Lineage: Eukaryota; Fungi; Neocallimastigomycota; Neocallimastigomycetes; Neocallimastigales
Description: partial large subunit ribosomal RNA
Rfam family: Eukaryotic large subunit ribosomal RNA
Source: RNAcentral
AUCUCUGUAGAGUCUGCAUAUCAAUAAGCGGAGGAAAAGAAACUAACAAGGAUUCCCUUAGUAACGGCGAGUGAAGCGGGAAGAGCUCAAAUUUGAAAUCUUCAAGGUUCUACCUUGACGAAUUGUAGUUUAAAGAAGUGUUUUCUGUUAGUGGAGUAGGCAAAAGUUCUCUGGAAUAGGACAUCAUAGAGGGUGAGAAUCCCGUAUUUGGUUAUUCAUUCUAGCUUUGUGAUACACUUUCAAAGAGUCGGAUUGUUUGGGAAUGCAGUCCAAAAUGGGUGGUAAAUUUCAUCUAAAGCUAAAUAUUGGCGAGAGACCGAUAGCGAACAAGUACCGUGAGGGAAAGAUGAAAAGAACUUUGAAAAGAGAGUUAAACAGUACGUGAAAUUGUCAAAAGGGAAGCGUUUGACACCAGUGUUGUUUUUCCAAAAAUCAAUUACGAAUGGCUUGAUUUUGUGUUGUAUUGACCUUAUCAGCUUUCUUCACUUUUUUCGAGUCUUUCUUAAUGCACUUUUUGGUUAACAAGUCAACAUCAAUUUCUUUUGUUGUAAAAGAGUAUUCGGAAGGUGGCUUUCUUUUCGGAGAAAGUGUUUAUAGCCCUAUACUUCUACAAUCGGAGAGAUUGAGGUCUGCAGCGUAGAUCCUUCGGGGUUAGAUACACUUGUGCUAAGUUGUAGCUUUUCAUAGACAACUUGUUGACUAUGUUUAGUCAUGCGGCUUACUCGCUUGUGCUAUUUUACCUACGCUUAGGAUGUUGACUGAUAUGUAGUCGUA